This 301-nucleotide ribosomal RNA is filed under the name uncultured bacterium. RNAcentral describes it as "partial 16S ribosomal RNA". It matches the Rfam family "Bacterial small subunit ribosomal RNA", at positions 509 to 807 of the family's 1533-position model. The record is from RNAcentral.
CAGUAGCCGCGGGAAUACGUAGGUGGCAAGCGUUGUCCGGAAUUAUUGGGCGUAAAGGGCUCGCAGGCGGUUUCUUAAGUCUGAUGUGAAAGCCCCCGGCUCAACCGGGGAGGGUCAUUGGAAACUGGGAAACUUGAGUGCAGAAGAGGAGAGUGGAAUUCCACGUGUAGCGGUGAAAUGCGAAGAGAUGUGGAGGAACACCAGUGGCGAAGGCGACUCUCUGGUCUGUAACUGACGCUGAGGAGCGAAAGCGUGGGGAGCGAACAGGAUUAGAUACCCCCGUAGUCCCUGUCUCUUAUAC